UGUUGGUAAAAGCAAGCAUAUUUAUAAAAUUUAUACCCUGCAAUUUCAUUCAAGAUGCAGGAUAGGAGCUUGCUAUACAAUGCUCUAAGCAGGUAAGAGUGCCUGAAGACUUGAUGCGAGUACUGUUGCUGUCAGUUCAUUAUCUAUCGCCCUCUUUACUGGAAGUUUUGAAAAACAAUUCUAUCUCUUCUAACAAUCUCUUGGAAGUUUGUAGAUCUGCACAAUCCACAUCUAGAGACUUUGCAGAUGACAUCACGUGAAUCAGAUACUCGCAAACUUCACCCAAAUCAUCUGUUGUGAUAGUCCUCUUCUCUAUCUUUUCAUCUGUGCAGUCAUUUUGACAAUCUUCAGUAUAUAGACGUUUCCUGCAUUCCUGCCAUAACAAAGAAAGCUAAAACUUAUUGAAUCUGAUACAAUGCAUUAUCUUUUCACCAAUUGUUGUUUCCAUUUUGUGGACAAGGGAGCAGUACCAAUCUCUUGCCACUAUGGAACUAUUGCAGCCUGUUAGAACUAUCAUGCCUAACCACUGUUCUUCAAAUACUAUCAGUCAAAAUUGGGGGGAAAUAAUUGCCUCGCUUUUUUGACUCA
Populus nigra (black poplar) is the source of this 588-nucleotide long non-coding RNA. RefSeq lists it as uncharacterized. The record is from RefSeq and is a predicted model, not a curated record. Lineage: Eukaryota; Viridiplantae; Streptophyta; Magnoliopsida; Malpighiales; Salicaceae. The transcript has 2 exons.